RNAcentral lists this long non-coding RNA (901 nucleotides) under Homo sapiens (human). RNAcentral's name for it is "long intergenic non-protein coding RNA 1013". The record is from RNAcentral. Lineage: Eukaryota; Metazoa; Chordata; Mammalia; Primates; Hominidae.
AGGUGAAAUAAACAGCUUUACUGCUCUCACACAAAGCCUGUUUGGUGGUCUCUUCACACGGACGCGCAUGAAAUUUGGUGCCAUGACUCGGAUCGGGGGACCUCCCUUGGGAGAUCAAUCCCCUGUCUUCCUGUUCUUUGCUCCGUGAGAAAGAUCCACCUACAACCUCAGGUCCUCAGACCGACCAGCCCAAGGAACAUCUCACCAAUUUUAAAUCAGGCAGCACCGAACCCCAGAGAGAGGCAAUGACCUUCCCAGGGGAUUUCUACAAAUUAAUAGAAAAACUGGAACUCCACUGCCCACUGCAGCACCACCAUGUCUUUCGGACAGUACCUCUUGCCACAUGACAGAGUCUUGCUCUGUUGCCAGAUUGGAGUGAAGUGGCGCGAUCUCAGCUCACUGCACCCUCUGACUCCCUGAUUCAAGUGAUGCUCCUGCCUCAGACUCCCAAGUAUUUCCUAUAUCUUCCUGUCUUUUCCAUGGCCAAAAAUGAUCAAGUAAAGAACAUUAAAGAAGAAAUAAAUUACUACAUAUUAAAAAAUACAUACUGUAAGAUGUUCUUUGUACAAAAAUGUGACAACUUCAAUAAGAGUAACUUGGACAACCUGAGGCAUUAAUUGAGGAUCAAUAUGAUGACUUUACAUUGAGAAUCACAUAUACCCUCUGAAUAAAUUUAAAAAAUGAAAUUUUUUAAUUUUCAUUAAAAAUUAAAUUUUUUUGAGUGAUGAAAAUACUCAAUCACAUUAUUUUCAAAUUGUUGAUAAGCAUGGAAAUUAUCAGAGAACCAGAAUAUUCAAGGUUUAUCUUUCCUGUUUUUGUCUUAAAUCACAACUAUGUGUUAAAUAAUUUGUAUGACCUAUUUCAGUGGCAGUAGGUUAAAUAAAAUUCUGUUUGUAUCUCC